RNAcentral lists this unclassified non-coding RNA (418 nucleotides) under Hevea brasiliensis (rubber tree). Lineage: Eukaryota; Viridiplantae; Streptophyta; Magnoliopsida; Malpighiales; Euphorbiaceae. The record is from RNAcentral.
CAAUGGAUGCCCGCUAGUUGGAGUCGCUGAUAUAAGUUGUGAUAUUGGCGGGUCAAUAGAGUUCAUUAACAAAACUACAUCGAUUGAGAGUCCUUUUUUCAGGUAUGACCCCUUCACUAAUUCAUACCAUGAUGACAUGGGGGGUGAUGGUGUUAUAUGCUUAGCAGUUGAUAUACUUCCGACAGAGUUUUCUAGAGAGGCUUCUCAACAUUUUGGAGAUAUCCUUUCUCAGUUUAUUGGUUGUUUGGCUUCAAUUAAAGACUUAAGAGGUCUGCCUUCGCACUUAAGAAGAGCUUGUAUAGCUCAUGGAGGAGCUCUUACUUCCUUGUAUGAGUAUAUCAAUCGGAUGAGAAAUUCUUCCUCAAUAGGCUCAUCACCAAAUUCUACGAAUGGUUCUUCAGUAGAGAAGAAGUAUAAG